This 611-nucleotide ribosomal RNA is filed under the name Leuconostoc citreum. Its description in RNAcentral is "bacterial SSU rRNA". It matches the Rfam family "Bacterial small subunit ribosomal RNA", at positions 77 to 675 of the family's 1533-position model. The record is from RNAcentral. Lineage: Bacteria; Bacillati; Bacillota; Bacilli; Lactobacillales; Lactobacillaceae.
UGCUUGCACCUUUCAGCGAGUGGCGAACGGGUGAGUAACACGUGGAUAACCUGCCUCAAGGCUGGGGAUAACAUUUGGAAACAGAUGCUAAUACCGAAUAAAACUUAGUAUCGCAUGAUAUCAAGUUAAAAGGCGCUACGGCGUCACCUAGAGAUGGAUCCGCGGUGCAUUAGUUAGUUGGUGGGGUAAAGGCUUACCAAGACGAUGAUGCAUAGCCGAGUUGAGAGACUGAUCGGCCACAUUGGGACUGAAACACGGCCCAAACUCCUACGGGAGGCUGCAGUAGGGAAUCUUCCACAAUGGGCGCAAGCCUGAUGGAGCAACGCCGCGUGUGUGAUGAAGGCUUUCGGGUCGUAAAGCACUGUUGUAUGGGAAGAAAUGCUAAAAUAGGGAAUGAUUUUAGUUUGACGGUACCAUACCAGAAAGGGACGGCUAAAUACGUGCCAGCAGCCGCGGUAAUACGUAUGUCCCGAGCGUUAUCCGGAUUUAUUGGGCGUAAAGCGAGCGCAGACGGUUGAUUAAGUCUGAUGUGAAAGCCCGGAGCUCAACUCCGGAAUGGCAUUGGAAACUGGUUAACUUGAGUGUUGUAGAGGUAAGUGGAACUCCAUGGG